This 76-nucleotide small RNA is filed under the name Methylobacterium nodulans ORS 2060. RNAcentral describes it as "Makes More Granules Regulator RNA (mmgR)". It matches the Rfam family "Makes More Granules Regulator RNA (mmgR)". From Rfam's summary of the family: SuhB later renamed mmgR (makes more granules regulator) was a putative non-coding RNA found multiple times in the Agrobacterium tumefaciens genome and related alpha-proteobacteria. Other non-coding RNAs uncovered in the same analysis include: speF, ybhL, metA, and serC. Several studies inSinorhizobium meliloti showed that suhB element is indeed a non-coding RNA:firstly it was detected on Northern blot and called Sm8RNA, secondly in an RNAseq study referred to as SmelC689. Lineage: Bacteria; Pseudomonadati; Pseudomonadota; Alphaproteobacteria; Hyphomicrobiales; Methylobacteriaceae. The record is from Rfam by way of RNAcentral.
CGCUGCUGCCCCUUUCGGGGGGCGUUCCUCCCUAGACUCGGGCCGCUCGCGAGGGCGGUCUUCUUUUUCGUCCAGG